UACGAAGGGAGCUAGCGUUGUUCGGAAUCACUGGGCGUAAAGCGCACGUAGGCGGAUGUGUCAGUCAGGGGUGAAAUCCCGGAGCUCAACUUCGGAACUGCCCUUGAUACAGCACGUCUUGAGUCCGGAAGAGGUGGGUGGAAUUCCUAGUGUAGAGGUGAAAUUCGUAGAUAUUAGGAAGAACACCGGUGGCGAAGGCGGCCCACCGGUCCGGUACUGACGCUGAGGUGCGAAAGCGUGGGGAGCAAACAGG
This 253-nucleotide ribosomal RNA is filed under the name uncultured bacterium. Its description in RNAcentral is "partial 16S ribosomal RNA". It matches the Rfam family "Bacterial small subunit ribosomal RNA", at positions 524 to 776 of the family's 1533-position model. The record is from RNAcentral.